RNAcentral lists this ribosomal RNA (492 nucleotides) under uncultured bacterium. Its description in RNAcentral is "partial 16S ribosomal RNA". It matches the Rfam family "Bacterial small subunit ribosomal RNA", at positions 29 to 507 of the family's 1533-position model. The record is from RNAcentral.
AGUGAACGCUGGCGGUAGGCCUAACACAUGCAAGUCGAACGGCAGCACAGUAAGAGCUUGCUCUUACGGGUGGCGAGUGGCGGACGGGUGAGGAAUACAUCGGCAUCUACUUUUUCGUGGGGGAUAACGUAGGGAAACUUACGCUAAUACCGCAUACGACCUACGGGUGAAAGCAGGGGAUCUUCGGACCUUGCGCGAUUGAAUGAGCCGAUGGCGGAUUAGCUAGUUGGCGGGGUAAAGGCCCACCAAGGCGACGAUCCGUAGCUGGUCUGAGAGGAUGAUCAGCCACACUGGAACUGAGACACGGUCCAGACUCCUACGGGAGGCAGCAGUGGGGAAUAUUGGACAAUGGGCGCAAGCCUGAUCCAGCCAUACCGCGUGGGUGAAGAAGGCCUUCGGGUUGUAAAGCCCUGUUGUUGGGAAAGAAAAGCAGCAGGUUAAUACCCCGCUGUUCUGACGGUACCCAAAGAAUAAGCACCGGCUAACUUCGUG